GGCCUGAGCCCGGCGGAGCCCUGCAGAGCCCGGCCGACCUCCAUGGGCUGCGGGGGGCUGCACCCGGACCCUUGGGGCGCGGCGCGCCCCUGAAUGCACCGUGGGAUGCAGGAGGUAGAGGCGCACGAGGCGGCGCAAGAGACGUUGGGAGGGUCCCGAGCCCUUCCGGGGAGGAACGCGGUCCUAGGCUGAGGUGCCAUGGCCUCCCGGCUCCUGCACCGGCUGCGGCACGCCUUGGCCGGCGACGGCCCCGGGGAGGCGGCGGCCAGUCCAGAGGCCGAGCAGUUUCCAGAGAGCUCAGAGCUGGAGGACGACGACGCCGAGGGCCUGUCCUCCCGACUCAGCGGCACCCUCAGCUUCACCAGCGCCGAGGACGACGAGGACGACGAGGACGAGGACGACGAGGAGGCUGGCCCUGACCCGCUGCCCCUCGGGGACGGGACGUCAGGAGAAGACGCAGAACGGAGCCCCCCACCUGAUGGGCAGCGGGGCAGUCAGCUCCUGGCACGGCAGCUGCAGGAUUUCUGGAAGAAGUCCCGGAACACCUUGGCACCCCA
RNAcentral lists this small RNA (557 nucleotides) under Pongo abelii (Sumatran orangutan). RNAcentral describes it as "processed transcript". The record is from RNAcentral. Lineage: Eukaryota; Metazoa; Chordata; Mammalia; Primates; Hominidae.